Non-coding RNA from Schizosaccharomyces pombe (fission yeast), 865 nucleotides. The record is from the annotation of a GenBank genome assembly. Lineage: Eukaryota; Fungi; Ascomycota; Schizosaccharomycetes; Schizosaccharomycetales; Schizosaccharomycetaceae.
AAGGGAUGAGACGAGUUUGCCAAAGCGCCUAAAAAAAGAAACCGGUUAUCGAGCGCAGAUAUAGAAUUGACAGUGUAAGUAGCAACAAAAAUUUUAAAAGAGUAAAGUAGAAUCAAAAACUAUAUCUAAGUUUAGAAAAUCCCUAAAGAGAAAUUUUCAGGUGAAUGUUAGGGGGUAGGUUCCGGUUGAAUUUUUAAAGGACUAAAGCGGCAAAAGCAGCAAUGCUCAAGAGUGAAACAAUCAAUAAUGAACUCUUGGAAAACCGGACAGGGGACCCACUCUCCAUCAAUUCGCGCCCUGUAUUGGGAAUGGAUGCUGCGUAUCCAAUGGAUCCGGCAGGUGCAGAAGUGUAAGUAGUAGAUGGUUGAUAUUCGGUGUAACUAUAAGGACUAAAAAUAAUAUUAGUAAUUUUACACAAACAAAUAGUUUCCAUAAAAUGACAAGCAUGACUUACAAAAUGGUUUCUACACCAUCCGACCAAGAUUUGUCGGUGACAAUCACAACAUCGCUCACAGUAGUAGAGUAACUUGCCUGAGUUGAACUAGAAUCAUCAUCCCUCUUAACAAAUGGGGUCAAAGGAAUUUUUGAGGGCAAAACACGAUUAGCUAAAUAUACUGAGUUAGCUAUUUCACAUAGUCACAAAAUAUAAAGACAGAGACAUAGAGAAUAGAGAAGGGAUGUAAAAAGAAUACCAAAGUUUAAAUAUUAAAAUAUUUAAACAAUGAUUAAAUGACAAAAACUCGGUCUACGACAUUAUACAACAUUAAGUGCACGAGUUGGAUGGACAGCAAACUUUUUACAUAGCCUCAAUGUACUUACUGUAGAGCAAUUCAAUUUCAGAUAAAUGCUCGAGAUCUCCAAUGGG